GGCGAACGCUGGCGGCGUGCUUAACACAUGCAAGUCGUACGGUAAGGCCCUUUCGGGGGUACACGAGUGGCGAACGGGUGAGUAACACGUGAGUAACCUGCCCACAACUUUGGGAUAACGCUAGGAAACUGGUGCUAAUACUGGAUAUGUGCUCCUGCUGCAUGGUGGGGGUUGGAAAGCUCCGGCGGUUGUGGAUGGACUCGCGGCCUAUCAGCUUGUUGGUGGGGUAGUGGCCUACCAAGGCGGCGACGGGUAGCCGGCCUGAGAGGGUGACCGGCCACAUUGGGACUGAGAUACGGCCCAGACUCCUACGGGAGGCAGCAGUGGGGAAUAUUGCACAAUGGGCGCAAGCCUGAUGCAGCAACGCCGCGUGCGGGAUGACGGCCUUCGGGUUGUAAACCGCUUUCAGCAGGGACGAAGCUUUUUGUGACGGUACCUGCAGAAGAAGCACCGGCUAACUACGUG
This 465-nucleotide ribosomal RNA is filed under the name uncultured bacterium. RNAcentral describes it as "partial 16S ribosomal RNA". It matches the Rfam family "Bacterial small subunit ribosomal RNA", at positions 28 to 507 of the family's 1533-position model. The record is from RNAcentral.